This 474-nucleotide ribosomal RNA is filed under the name uncultured bacterium. Its description in RNAcentral is "bacterial SSU rRNA". It matches the Rfam family "Bacterial small subunit ribosomal RNA", at positions 38 to 507 of the family's 1533-position model. The record is from RNAcentral.
GGCGGCAGGCUUAACACAUGCAAGUCGAGCGGUAGCAGAUCUAGCUUGCUAGAUGCUGACGAGCGGCGGACGGGUGAGUAACGCGUGGGAACCUGCCCAGUAGUGGGGGAUAGCCCGGGGAAACUCGGAUUAAUACCGCAUACGCUCUACGGAGGAAAGAGGGGCUUCGGGCUCUCGCUAUUGGAUGGGCCUGCGUGAGAUUAGCUAGUUGGUGAGGUAAUGGCUCACCAAGGCGACGAUCUCUAGCUGGUCUGAGAGGAUGAUCAGCCACACUGGGACUGAGACACGGCCCAGACUCCUACGGGAGGCAGCAGUGGGGAAUAUUGCACAAUGGGCGCAAGCCUGAUGCAGCCAUGCCGCGUGUGUGAAGAAGGCUUUCGGGUUGUAAAGCACUUUCAGUGGAGAGGAAGGCCUCGUAGUUAAUAGCUGCGAGGAUUGACGUUACCCACAGAAGAAGCACCGGCUAACUCCGUG